AGAAUCAACGCUGGCGGCGUGCCUAACACAUGCAAGUCGAACGAGAAAGGGUAGCAAUACCUGAGUAAAGUGGCGCACGGGUGAGUAACACGUGACUAACCUACCUUUUAGUGGGGGAUAACCUAGGGAAACCUGGGCUAAUACCGCAUAAUACCUACGGGUCAAAGCAGCAAUGCGCUGAAAGAGGGGGUCGCGGUCGAUUAGUUAGUUGGCAGGGUAAUGGCCUACCAAGACUGUGAUCGAUAUCCGGCCUGAGAGGGCGCACGGACACACUGGAACUGAAACACGGUCCAGACUCCUACGGGAGGCAGCAGUGGGGAAUUUUGCGCAAUGGGGGAAACCCUGACGCAGCAACGCCGCGUGGAGGAUGAAGUCCCUUGGGACGUAAACUCCUUUCGAUCGGGACGAUAAUGACGGUACCGGAAGAAGAACGCCCGGCUAACUUCGCGCCAGCAGCCGC
Molecule: ribosomal RNA, 460 nt
Filed under: uncultured bacterium
Lineage: Bacteria
Description: SSU rRNA
Rfam family: Bacterial small subunit ribosomal RNA
Source: RNAcentral